AGAGACGUUCUAUCUUAGUAUAAAUAAGUUAUAAAUGAGCGAUGGGGCCCAAGAAAUUAACUACUAUAGCUGGUCAGGGUAGCGUCAGAUGGGGAAGAAGCGGCGUCAUAAGCAGAGGGAGAGGUUUCCGUCCGCCACGGCCUGCUGGCGACGGCUGAUGAGCCCCGCUGGGCAGGCCAUGGCCAUUUCAGAGUUUGCAAAGCUGGCGGAGAUUGUGUUUGUGAUGGUGCCAGGGUCAGUGGAGGAUGAGAGGCGGUUCUCAGCAAUGUCUUUCGUCAAGAAUAAGCACCGCAACCNN
This 298-nucleotide long non-coding RNA is filed under the name Volvox carteri. RNAcentral's name for it is "long non-coding RNA (VCAR_LNC003961)". The record is from RNAcentral. Lineage: Eukaryota; Viridiplantae; Chlorophyta; Chlorophyceae; Chlamydomonadales; Volvocaceae.